Molecule: ribosomal RNA, 1003 nt
Filed under: Acremoniisimulans hongheensis
Lineage: Eukaryota; Fungi; Ascomycota; Sordariomycetes; Glomerellales; Plectosphaerellaceae
Description: SSU rRNA
Rfam family: Eukaryotic small subunit ribosomal RNA
Source: RNAcentral
CGAAUGGCUCAUUAUAUAAGUUAUCGUUUAUUUGAUAGUACCUUACUACAUGGAUAACCGUGGUAAUUCUAGAGCUAAUACAUGCUGAAAAUCCCGACUCCGGAAGGGAUGUAUUUAUUAGAUACAAAACCAAUGCCCUUCGGGGCUCCCUUGGUGAUUCAUGAUAACUCCUCGAAUCGCACGGCCCCGCGCCGGCGAUGGUUCAUUCAAAUUUCUUCCCUAUCAACUUUCGAUGCUACGGUAGUGUCCUAGCAUGGUUGCAACGGGUGACGGAGGGUUAGGGCUCGACCCCGGAGAAGGAGCCUGAGAAACGGCUACUACAUCCAAGGAAGGCAGCAGGCGCGCAAAUUACCCAAUCCCGACUCGGGGAGGUAGUGACGAUAAAUACCGAUACAGGGCUCUUUUGGGUCCUGUAAUUGGAAUGAGUACAAUUCAAAUCCCUUAACGAGGAACAAUUGGAGGGCAAGUCUGGUGCCAGCAGCCGCGGUAAUUCCAGCUCCAAUAGCGUAUAUUAAAGUUGUUGUGGUUAAAAAGCUCGUAGUAGAAGCUCGGGCUCCGGCCGACCGGUCCGCCUCACCGCGUGCACUGGCUCGGCCGGGCCUUCACCUUCUGCGGAACCUCAUCCCCUUCACUGGGGGUGCUGGGGAAACAGGACGUUUACUUUGAAAAAAUUAGAGUGCUCCAGGCAGGCCUAUGCUCGAAUAGAUUAGCAUGGAAUAAUGGAAUAGGACGCGUGGUUCUAUUUCGUUGGUUUCUAGGACCGCCGUAAUGAUUAAUAGGGACAGUCGGGGGCAUCAGUAUUCAAUCGUCAGAGGUGAAAUUCUUGGAUCGAUUGAAGACUAACUACUGCGAAAGCAUUUGCCAAGGAUGUUUUCAUUUAUCAGGAACGAAAGUUAGGGGAUCGAAGACGAUCAGAUACCGUCGUAGUCUUAACCAUAAACUAUGCCGACUAGGGAUCGGACGGUGUUAUUUCUUGACCCGUUCGGCACCUUACGAGAAAUCA